CCAGGGAAUAAUAACUCCUCAACAAGUAUAUACUCUACUAGUAAUCCAGCACAUUCUAGCCAGCUUGGGAAUGUCAACCUGGACCAGGGAAUAAUAACUCCUCAACAAGUAUCUACUCUACUAGUAAUCCAGUACAUUCUAGCCAGCUUGGGAACGUCAAACUGGUUGGAGAAAUAAUAACUCCUCAACACAUAUCUACUAGUAAUCCAGUACAUUCUAGCCAGGUUGGGAAUGUCAAACUGGACCAGGGAAUAAUAACUUCUCAACAAGUAUCUACUCUACUAGUAAUCCAGUACAUUCUAGCCAGCUUGGGAACGUCAAACUGGUUGGAGAAAUAAUAACUCCUCAACACUUGUCUACUCUACUAGUAAUCCAGUACAUUCUAGCCAGGUUGGGAACGUCAAACUGGACCAGGAAAUAAUAACUCCUCAACAAGUAUCUACUCUACUAGUAAUCCAGUACAUUCUAGCCAGGUUGGGAACGUCAAACUAGUUGGAGAAAUAAAACUCCUCAACACGUAUCUACUCUACUAGUAAUCCAGUACAUUCUAGCCAGGUUGGGAACGUCAAACUGGUUGUUGAAAUAAUAACUCCUCAACAAGUAUCUACUAGUAAUCCAGUACAUUCUACUCAGCUUGGGAACAUCAAACUGGUUGUUGAAAUAAUAACUCCUCAACAAGUAUCUACUCUACUAGUAAUCCAGUACAUUCUAGCCAGCUUGGGAACAUCAAACUGGACCAGGAAAUAAUAACUCCUCAACAAGUAUCUACUCUACUAGUAAUCUAAUACAUUCUAGCCAGGUUGGGAGCAUCAAACUGGACCAGGAAAUAAUAACUCCUCAACACGUAUCUACUCUACUAGUAAUCCAGUACAUUCUAGCCAGCUUGGGAACAUCAAACUGGUUGGAGAAAUAAUAACUCCUCAACAAGUAUCUACUCUACUAGUAAUCCAGUACAUUCUAGCCAGGUUGGGAGCAUCAAAUUGGACCAGGAAAUAAUAACUCCUGAAUGUGUGUUUACUCUACUAGUAAUACACAUAUCAACACUGGAAAUAUUUAUAUAAUUUUCAGCCUUGAAAAAUACUGCUAAGUUUAUGUGAAAUAAAGAGGUUGCCACAUAAACCAUUUUAGUAUUCUUUGUGUAGAAAAUGAAAUUUUCCUGCUUGAGGUAACUGAUCUUAUGUUAAUUAAAAACACAAGUCUAAUAUUCCUUCUCUGCAUUCAAAAUGUGUUAUUCCUUUUACGUGCAGUGUGUCUCUUGUAUCUUGUGUUUCUUUAUGAUAAAUAUAAAUUGUAACAUGAUUUUUGCAUAAAAAUGUCACGUUUCUUGGUUUUGAAGUGUUUAGUAAAACACAGGAACAAUUAAUGUCAUGAAGUGAUACUUUUCAGUGUGUUUUGUUGUUGGAUUUUGACAGAUGCUCACUAUGAUUUUGAGGAUGAACCUGUGUUUUGUAAUCCAGGUUUUGCUCGGCAAGAACAACCAAUGAACUGUUGCCCUUGGUGUAAAAAGUUGUACAAGUACAAUACUUUCCUGAUCCGUCACAUGCACUACCACUGUAAGCUGAAGCCCAAGUGAGUGUUCAUUUACUUCCAAGAUAUCAAAUCUCUGAUUCUGAAUGGAAGAAGCAAACAAUAUAUAUAUUUUUUGUACUAGUUUUACUUUGAGUGGAAGAAGAUUUCAGAAUACAAAGAAGCAAACCGUG
Long non-coding RNA from Limulus polyphemus (Atlantic horseshoe crab), 1700 nucleotides. RefSeq lists it as uncharacterized. The transcript is spliced from 2 exons. The record is from RefSeq and is a predicted model, not a curated record. NCBI's taxonomy places the organism in Eukaryota, Metazoa, Arthropoda, Merostomata, Xiphosura, Limulidae.